Molecule: transfer RNA, 81 nt
Filed under: Chryseobacterium sp.
Lineage: Bacteria; Pseudomonadati; Bacteroidota; Flavobacteriia; Flavobacteriales; Weeksellaceae
Also listed under: 1 other name
Description: tRNA-Leu
Rfam family: tRNA
About the family: Transfer RNA (tRNA) molecules are approximately 80 nucleotides in length. Their secondary structure includes four short double-helical elements and three loops (D, anti-codon, and T loops).
Source: RNAcentral
GCCCAGGUGGCGGAAUUGGUAGACGCGUUGGUCUCAAACACCAAUGCCUUUGGCGUACCGGUUCGAUCCCGGUCCUGGGUA